Molecule: ribosomal RNA, 253 nt
Filed under: bacterium
Lineage: Bacteria
Also listed under: 2 other names
Description: partial 16S ribosomal RNA
Rfam family: Bacterial small subunit ribosomal RNA
Source: RNAcentral
UACGUAGGGUGCAAGCGUUGUCCGGAAUUAUUGGGCGUAAAGAGCUCGUAGGCGGUCUGUCGCGUCGGCUGUGAAAACUCGGGGCUCAACUCCGAGCUUGCAGUCGAUACGGGCAGGCUAGAGUUCGGCAGGGGAGACUGGAAUUCCUGGUGUAGCGGUGAAAUGCGCAGAUAUCAGGAGGAACACCGGUGGCGAAGGCGGGUCUCUGGGCCGAUACUGACGCUGAGGAGCGAAAGCGUGGGGAGCGAACAGG